UCGAUUCCCUUAGUAGCGGCGAGCGAAACGGGAAGAGCCCAAACCAACAAGCUUGCUUGUUGGGGUUGUAGGACACUCUAUACGGAGUUACAAAGGACGACAUUAGACGAAUCAUCUGGAAAGAUGAAUCAAAGAAGGUAAUAAUCCUGUAGUCGAAAAUGUUGUCUCUCUUGAGUGGAUCCUGAGUACGACGGAGCACGUGAAAUUCCGUCGGAAUCUGGGAGGACCAUCUCCUAAGGCUAAAUACUCUCUAGUGACCGAUAGUGAACCAGUACCGUGAGGGAAAGGUGAAAAGCACCCCGGAAGGGGAGUGAAAUAGAACCUGAAACCGUGUGCUUACAAGUAGUCAGAGCCCGUUAAUGGGUGAUGGCGUGCCUUUUGUAGAAUGAACCGGCGAGUUACGAUUUGAUGCAAGGUUAAGCAGUAAAUGUGGAGCCGUAGCGAAAGCGAGUCUGAAUAGGGCGUUUAGUAUUUGGUCGUAGACCCGAAACCAGGUGAUCUACCCUUGGUCAGGUUGAAGUUCAGGUAACACUGAAUGGAGGACCGAACCGACUUACGUUGAAAAGUGAGCGGAUGAACUGAGGGUAGCGGAGAAAUUCCAAUCGAACCUGGAGAUAGCUGGUUCUCUCCGAAAUAGCUUUAGGGCUAGCCUCAAGUGAUGAUUAUUGGAGGUAGAGCACUGUUUGGACGAGGGGCCCCUCUCGGGUUACCGAAUUCAGACAAACUCCGAAUGCCAAUUAAUUUAACUUGGGAGUCAGAACAUGGGUGAUAAGGUCCGUGUUCGAAAGGGAAACAGCCCAGACCACCAGCUAAGGUCCCAAAAUAUAUGUUAAGUGGAAAAGGAUGUGGCGUUGCCCAGACAACUAGGAUGUUGGCUUAGAAGCAGCCAUCAUUUAAAGAGUGCGUAAUAGCUCACUAGUCGAGUGACACUGCGCCGAAAAUGUACCGGGGCUAAACAUAUUACCGAAGCUGUGGAUUGUCCUUUGGACAAUGGUAGGAGAGCGUUCUAAGGGCGUUGAAGCAUGAUCGUAAGGACAUGUGGAGCGCUUAGAAGUGAGAAUGCCGGUGUGAGUAGCGAA
This 1079-nucleotide ribosomal RNA is filed under the name Staphylococcus aureus. RNAcentral describes it as "partial 23S ribosomal RNA". It matches the Rfam family "Bacterial large subunit ribosomal RNA", at positions 231 to 1313 of the family's 2925-position model. The record is from RNAcentral. Lineage: Bacteria; Bacillati; Bacillota; Bacilli; Caryophanales; Staphylococcaceae.